RNAcentral lists this unclassified non-coding RNA (225 nucleotides) under Glomeraceae sp. RNAcentral's name for it is "partial contains 5.8S ribosomal RNA and internal transcribed spacer 2". The stretch from base 1 to 71 matches the Rfam family "5.8S ribosomal RNA", at positions 84 to 154 of the family's 154-position model. The record is from RNAcentral. Lineage: Eukaryota; Fungi; Glomeromycota; Glomeromycetes; Glomerales; Glomeraceae.
GUGAAUCAUCGAAUCUUUGAACGCAAAUUGCACUCCCUGGUAUUCCGGGGAGUAUGCCUGUUUGAGGGUCGUUAGAACAAAAAUCGAAGCGUCGCUCUUUUUUUUUAAGGUUAAUCGCUUCGGAAUUGACCCUUCUUUCAAAUCCUAAUUCAUUUCAAAUUGGCUUAAAAUUCAUCCAUCCGUUCCAUUUAAACCUUAUUUAAAUUCAACUUGAAUUAUAACCCC